GCAAGUCGAGCGCACCUUCGGGUGAGCGGCGGACGGGUGAGUAACGUGUGGGAACGUGCCCUAAGGUACGGAAUAGCCUCUGGAAACGGAGAGUAAUACCUUAUACGCCCUUUGGGGGAAAGAUUUAUCGGAGAAGGAUUAGCCCGCGUUAGAUUAGGUAGUUGGUGGGGUAAUGGCCUACCAAGCCUACGAUCUAUAGCUGGUUUGAGAGGAUGAUC
This 218-nucleotide ribosomal RNA is filed under the name uncultured bacterium. RNAcentral describes it as "partial 16S ribosomal RNA". It matches the Rfam family "Bacterial small subunit ribosomal RNA", at positions 57 to 305 of the family's 1533-position model. The record is from RNAcentral.